RNAcentral lists this long non-coding RNA (639 nucleotides) under Marmota monax (woodchuck). Lineage: Eukaryota; Metazoa; Chordata; Mammalia; Rodentia; Sciuridae. The record is from RNAcentral.
AAAGCCUUUCAAAAAACAAGUAGUGUUAGCUUUCUCCGUAGAAAGUGGCCAAUGAUGGCCUUUGCGCACUGGAGCGCUUGGCCGUAGGCAGGUUGAGGUAACCUUCAGGGUUAUAAACUGCGCCCAGGACUGAAAAUCAGAAAUCGGCUGCGGAGUCAUUCAUCGCCCCAUUCUUAUUGCAACUCAGUUGCCUAUUUUCUUAUGGAGCCUGGGUUCGCUUCUGGCCGGUCUGGAGGGUGCCCCAGCUUACUGGACGUGCGCGCUCAGGUGCAGAACGUCCGAGCAGAAUCAAGCCGGUCUUUCAGCCGCUUGCAAGCGGGUGGUGACUUCGGGAAAUCAGUAGUUGCUCAGAGGCUGUUGAAAAGGCAGGACGCUCGGCUUUCGAAGGCAGGAUUCAGAAAAGAUGUCUUUCCCCUUAGGUUUGUCCCCUCCCACCAUUCUUUCUCCAAUCUACAUUCUCCCUAUGGUCUUUCCUUUAAACGUCUGGGUGUCAGGCGUCCUGAGAUGUCCGUGCUCUGCUGGGUUUUACUAGGUAUUUCACUAAACAGUGUGAGACGCGCUAUGUAACCGGCCCACGGAAAAUGCCUGCCACCCCCAACUGGGAAGCUUUGCUGUCUGAGCCCCAGUUGCCAAUCCAAG